AAGACCUUGCACUUUUGGAGCGGCCGAUGUCUGAUUAGCUAGUUGGUGGGGUAAUGGCCUACCAAAGCUUCGAUCAGUAGCUGGUCUGAGAGGACGGCCAGCCACACUGGGACUGAGACACGGCCCAGACUCCUACGGGAGGCAGCAGUGGGGAAUUUUGGACAAUGGGCGCAAGCCUGAUCCAGCCAUGCCGCGUGAGUGAAGAAGGCCUUCGGGUUGUAAAGCUCUUUCAGCCGGGAAGAAAAGGUUGCGACUAAUAAUCGCAAUUCAUGACGGUACCGAAAGAAGAAGCACCGGCUAACUACGCGCCAGCAGCCGCGGUAAUACGUAGGGUGCGAGCGUUAAUCGGAAUUACUGGGCGUAAAGGGUGCGCAGGCGGUUUUGUAAGUCAGAUGUGAAAUCCCCGGGCUUAACCUGGGAACU
Molecule: ribosomal RNA, 423 nt
Filed under: uncultured bacterium
Lineage: Bacteria
Description: bacterial SSU rRNA
Rfam family: Bacterial small subunit ribosomal RNA
Source: RNAcentral